Pantherophis guttatus is the source of this 333-nucleotide long non-coding RNA. RefSeq lists it as uncharacterized. The record is from RefSeq and is a predicted model, not a curated record. NCBI's taxonomy places the organism in Eukaryota, Metazoa, Chordata, Lepidosauria, Squamata, Colubridae.
CCCUUCUUCUGUUUGCAUGGUUACUCAGGAACGGGUUCCAGCCAUUAUUGCUUCCCAGCUUUGCCAACGAACUACGGGAGAGGGAAUGCAGGCUUCUGACAUCCAGAAGACAGCUGUGAGAACCAAGGUCGCUUUGGCAGGUGUUUGCCAGAGCCAAAGACUUUUUCUCAUAACAAUACAAUGAGACUCAAUUGGACAAUGUGACCUGAUCUAAUAGGGGGAGGGAGAAUCUUACGCAGGAAUUAGCCAGCUCUGGUUUUGCCCACAUCUGUGCCGAAAAUGAUGUACCGUAUUCAGUAAAGUUUUGCAUUAAGAGAUUGGAUCACAUCCUAA